This 850-nucleotide ribosomal RNA is filed under the name uncultured bacterium. RNAcentral describes it as "bacterial SSU rRNA". It matches the Rfam family "Bacterial small subunit ribosomal RNA", at positions 51 to 900 of the family's 1533-position model. The record is from RNAcentral.
UAUCAUGCAAGUCGAGGGGCAGCACAGGUAGCAAUACUGGGUGGCGACCGGCAAACGGGUGCGGAACACGUACGUAACCUUCCUUUAAGUGGGAGAUAGCCCGAAGAAAUUCGGAUUAAUACCCCAUAAGAUUGUGGAGUGGCAUCACUCAGCAAUUAAAGAAAUUCGCUUAAAGAUGGGCGUGCGGCUGAUUAGGUAGUUGGUGAGGUAACGGCUCACCAAGCCAACGAUCAGUAACUGGCGUGAGAGCGCGACCAGUCACACGGGCACUGAGACACGGGCCCGACUCCUACGGGAGGCAGCAGUAAGGAAUAUUGGUCAAUGGACGCAAGUCUGAACCAGCCAUGCCGCGUGAAGGAUGAAGGUCCUCUGGAUUGUAAACUUCUUUUAUAUGGGAAGAAACCACUUUUUUCUAAAGGUGUUGACGGUACCAUAGGAAUAAGCACCGGCUAACUCCGUGCCAGCAGCCGCGGUAAUACGGAGGGUGCAAGCGUUAUCCGGAUUCACUGGGUUUAAAGGGUGCGUAGGCGGAUUAGUAAGUCCGUGGUGAAAUCUCCGAGCUUAACUCGGAAACUGCCGUGGAUACUAUUAAUCUUGAAUACUGUGGAGGUUAGCGGAAUAUGUCAUGUAGCGGUGAAAUGCAUAGAUAUGACAUAGAACACCAAUUGCGAAGGCAGCUGGCUACACAGAGAUUGACGCUGAGGCACGAAAGCGUGGGGAUCAAACAGGAUUAGAUACCCUGGUAGUCCACGCCCUAAACGAUGAUUACUCGACAUUUGCGAUAUACAGUAAGUGUCUGAGCGAAAGCAUUAAGUAAUCCACCUGGGAAGUACGACCGCAAGGUUGAAAC